Molecule: ribosomal RNA, 244 nt
Filed under: uncultured Actinomycetes bacterium
Lineage: Bacteria; Bacillati; Actinomycetota; Actinomycetes
Description: uncultured actinobacterium partial 16S ribosomal RNA
Rfam family: Bacterial small subunit ribosomal RNA
Source: RNAcentral
GACGAACGCUGGCGGCGUGCUUAACACAUGCAAGUCGAGCGGUAAGGCCCUUCGGGGUACACGAGCGGCGAACGGGUGAGUAACACGUGGGUGACCUGCCUCUAGCUCUGGGAUAAGCCUGGGAAACUGGGUCUAAUACCGGAUAUGACUCCACGGCGCAUGUUGUGGGGUGGAAAGCCUUGUGUGGCUAGAGAUGGGCCCGCGGCCUAUCAGCUUGUUGGUGGGUGAUGGCCUACCAAGGCGA